AAGUGAGAUGAUGGCAUACCAUCUUUCGGGACUGAGUUGAUGUGAAGAGUACUGUUUGUUUUGCUGAUCACUU
Molecule: small nucleolar RNA, 73 nt
Filed under: Xenopus laevis (African clawed frog)
Lineage: Eukaryota; Metazoa; Chordata; Amphibia; Anura; Pipidae
Description: Small nucleolar RNA SNORD2
Rfam family: Small nucleolar RNA SNORD2
Source: Rfam by way of RNAcentral